CAUUUAUAAAGAAUAAUCUUUUUUUAGAAAUC
RNAcentral lists this transfer RNA (32 nucleotides) under Chaitophorus populeti. RNAcentral's name for it is "partial tRNA-Leu". Lineage: Eukaryota; Metazoa; Arthropoda; Insecta; Hemiptera; Aphididae. The record is from RNAcentral.